Molecule: ribosomal RNA, 253 nt
Filed under: uncultured bacterium
Lineage: Bacteria
Description: partial 16S ribosomal RNA
Rfam family: Bacterial small subunit ribosomal RNA
Source: RNAcentral
UACGAAGGGGGCUAGCGUUGCUCGGAAUUACUGGGCGUAAAGCGCACGCAGGCGGUUUGUUAAGUCAGAUGUGAAAUCCCCGAGCUUAACUUGGGAACUGCAUUUGAAACUGGCAAGCUAGAGUCUUGUAGAGGGGGGUAGAAUUCCAGGUGUAGCGGUGAAAUGCGUAGAGAUCUGGAGGAAUACCGGUGGCGAAGGCGGCCCCCUGGACAAAGACUGACGCUCAGGUGCGAAAGCGUGGGGAGCAAACAGG